RNAcentral lists this ribosomal RNA (305 nucleotides) under uncultured bacterium. Its description in RNAcentral is "partial 16S ribosomal RNA". It matches the Rfam family "Bacterial small subunit ribosomal RNA", at positions 335 to 657 of the family's 1533-position model. The record is from RNAcentral.
UUCCCUACGGGGGGCAGCAGUGGGGAAUAUUGCACAAUGGGGGGAACCCUGAUGCAGCGACGCCGCGUGGGUGAGGAAGUACUUCGGUAUGUAAAGCCCUAUCAGCAGGGAAGAAAAUGACGGUACCUGACUAAGAAGCCCCGGCUAACUACGUGCCAGCAGCCGCGGUAAUACGUAGGGGGCAAGCGUUAUCCGGAAUUACUGGGUGUAAAGGGAGCGUAGACGGUGAUGCAAGUCUGGAGUGAAAGGCGGGGGCCCAACCCCCGGACUGCUCUGGAAACUGUGUAACUUUAGUGCAGGAGAGG